CCUACGGGCGGCUGCAGUGGGGAAUAUUGCACAAUGGGCGCAAGCCUGAUGCAGCCAUGCCGCGUGUGUGAAGAAGGCCUUCGGGUUGUAAAGCACUUUUAGCGGGGAGGAAGGCGGUGAGGUUAAUAACCUCAUCGAUUGACGUUACCCGCAGAAGAAGCACCGGCUAACUCCGUGCCAGCAGCCGCGGUAAUACGGAGGGUGCAAGCGUUAAUCGGAAUUACUGGGCGUAAAGCGCACGCAGGCGGUCUGUCAAGUCGGAUGUGAAAUCCCCGGGCUCAACCUGGGAACUGCAUUCGAAACUGGCAGGCUAGAGUCUUGUAGAGGGGGGUAGAAUUCCAGGUGUAGCGGUGAAAUGCGUAGAGAUCUGGAGGAAUACCGGUGGCGAAGGCGGCCCCCUGGACAAAGACUGACGCUCAGGUGCGAAAGCGUGGGGAGCAAACAGGAUUAGAUACCCGAGUAGUC
This 465-nucleotide ribosomal RNA is filed under the name uncultured Klebsiella sp. Its description in RNAcentral is "bacterial SSU rRNA". It matches the Rfam family "Bacterial small subunit ribosomal RNA", at positions 338 to 795 of the family's 1533-position model. Lineage: Bacteria; Pseudomonadati; Pseudomonadota; Gammaproteobacteria; Enterobacterales; Enterobacteriaceae. The record is from RNAcentral.